RNAcentral lists this transfer RNA (72 nucleotides) under Dipodomys ordii (Ord's kangaroo rat). It matches the Rfam family "tRNA". From Rfam's summary of the family: Transfer RNA (tRNA) molecules are approximately 80 nucleotides in length. Their secondary structure includes four short double-helical elements and three loops (D, anti-codon, and T loops). Further hydrogen bonds mediate the characteristic L-shaped molecular structure. tRNAs have two regions of fundamental functional importance: the anti-codon, which is responsible for specific mRNA codon recognition, and the 3' end, to which the tRNAs corresponding amino acid is attached (by aminoacyl-tRNA synthetases). tRNAs cope with the degeneracy of the genetic code in two manners: having more than one tRNA (with a specific anti-codon) for a particular amino acid; and 'wobble' base-pairing, i.e. permitting non-standard base-pairing at the 3rd anti-codon position. The record is from Rfam by way of RNAcentral. Lineage: Eukaryota; Metazoa; Chordata; Mammalia; Rodentia; Heteromyidae.
GGAGGUAUGGCUAAAGUAGUAGAGCACCUGCCUACCAAGUAGAAGGCCUUAGCUUAAAUCCCAGUACUGCCA